Cyprinus carpio (common carp) is the source of this 2769-nucleotide long non-coding RNA. RefSeq lists it as uncharacterized. The record is from RefSeq and is a predicted model, not a curated record. Lineage: Eukaryota; Metazoa; Chordata; Actinopteri; Cypriniformes; Cyprinidae.
CCCUGCCCCUUAGAGCAUGUUUCAACCUGUCCUUGCUCUACACUUCACCCCAUCUGUGUCAUGUUUAUGGUCUGUUCUGGUUUAGAUUUUCCUGUGUUUCUGUUCUACCUUCUUUGACCUAGUUUGCCUUAGUCCCCCUGAUUAGUUCAUUCUGUUCACCUGUAUUGAUUAAUCAUCUCGUUUGCUCCUUUGUUUCCCUGUCUUUAUAAGCCUUCAGUUUCUGUCUGUUCUUUGUCCUGGAUUAAUGUUGAUUUAAUGGUACACAUGUGUUGAUACUAUUUAGCGUGCCUGUUCUUUUUGUUAAAGUGGAAUUAAAGUGUAUUUUGGUUACUCCUUCUUUGUGCGCUAUCUAAAACCACAUACCGUGACAAUCUGCAAUUUACCAUUCUUUUUGUAGGUCACUUGAUGUCCUUCUACGGUUGUUGAGUGACAUUUAAAUGAAGUGGCGGUCAUCCCGGUCAAAGGAAAGUUAUUUUCUUUUUUUUCUUUCUCAGUUUUUCAUUUCCUCUGCCAGUCUAUAUCUUUGUCCCCAAUGUCUGCAGCAUGAUGUUCUUUUUAUGAACAGCUGUCUUUGAAAUGGACGGAAGCAACCUGACGCUCACUGUUUCCCUCUGCCAGUAAAGCCAGAACUGAACCCUUCUUUUCCUCACUCAAAACAUUUAAACUCUUUUGGCAUGGGCAGUAAUUAUUUGUUUCCAAUUACUUUUGAGUUACUACUAGCACUGUUUUUGCCAUCCAUCUGGUCCUAUUGCUAGAGGAAAAUGAUGACCUUGUUUUCCUCAUCAGUAAGAUAAAAUUUGGUUGAGAUGAUCACCUAUAGUAGUUCAAACUGAAAAACCCUGGAAUGGAAUUGCUGCUAUACAUGUAGAGAUUAUUAUUUAAGAAAAAAAUAGGAGAAAAAUCGGUCUUUUAAUUUUUUUUUUUUUUUUUUUUUUUUUGUGGUCCCAUAGCUGUAUGUAUGUAUUUCUUUUCUUUCCUUUUUAAUUUCUUCUUCUUUUUUAAUAAUACAACAACAACUACUACUACUAGUAGUAGCAUUGUUAUAACCUUAGCUUUAUCAUAAUAAUUAAUCAACCUUUUUAAUUGUUUUUAUUAUUAUUAUUAUUAUUUUGCUAUUCUAAUAAUAAUUAUUUUUAUUAUUUAUUAAUUUUUUAUUGAUAUUUAUUGAUAUUUGGAUACAGUGACUCCUUUGGGCAAUCUUUUCCAGAAAUCCAACCUGGAAUUUCUUGAAUUGCAGAAUUCUGACCAAACGUGGUUUAUUUGAAUUGGAGUGAAGGUUCAUUUCACAGGCACAGUAACUAGAGUGUAAGAUUUUACUGUUUAAUAGAUCACAUUGUUUCCAGUACUGCACUCACCUUUUUCUGCAGCGUUCCAUCUCUGUUUGUCCAAAGCAUAUGAGAGAACAUUGAUCUGCUCUUUCUUCUAGACCUCUGAUAAACCCCAGCACCCCUCUCUGUAGAGAAGUGAACUGUUGACAUGAUCAGCAGAUGGACAUGACUGUUUGGUUAAUGAUUACAGGAGAUGUUAUAACAUUGGCUUCACUUACCUGUGAGCAAAGUGCCAGUGACACAAACAACAGCACAGAUUCCUGACAGGAGUGGGUGUGUGAAAGAGGAGGGACGCAGAAACAGCCGAUCUGGCAGCGUGUAAUGAGGCACACCUGAAGUGAAUGGAGCCUAAUCACCGCCGCUGUUAAAAGCUGAGCGCGCCUCUCCUCAAGAGAACGGUACGCGAGCCGUUGGACCUGCUGUUUUGAAUGGGACUGCACCCUUGACGUGGUCGAUGGGCCUGGAGGCUGGGCUGUUAUUCUCCCCCCAAGCGCCGUGGGCCAGGAAAAAUGAGUCACUCUGACAAAGCCGCCACCCAUUGCGCCCUGGACCAGAGAGGGGAGCACGUGCAGCCGCCGGACUCGGGCCUCUACCUGGACCCCAACUUUCUAAACAUUGACCUUCCUUCACAAUUCCCUGGCUCAACAAGGACACCAGAUCCCCUGUUUAUUUUGGACACUAUUUCCCCUCAGAACCCUUUAAUCCCAUUUUGGAUAUUUUGUGUGAUUCUGUUAAAUAAAAUCCACUGUGUCUGACGUUUGCUCUUCUAUCUCUCUCUCUGGCAUUUGAACUGUUGACGCGCCGGCAUGGCAUUAAGGUACCGGUCGGAGUGGAUUGCUCCGUUGAGGAAUGUAGCCUCGCAGUUGGAGAGGUUGUUGGAGAUAACUGUAAUAAGUUGGCAUCGAGAAUGAAUAGUGCAAUUGUACUGUUUUUGGAGACGACUGAAAAGGUUAACCAAGUCAUUGAACUAGGAAUUGUGAUCAAAGACCUACACAUUGGAGUUUUUCCGCUUGUCAAUCUGGCCAAAAAAGUAGUGAUUUCAAAUGUUCCCCCAUUCAUCAGCGAUGAGGUUAUAGAACGCAAAUUAGCAAGACAUCGGCAAAUUUUUUCAACAUUAAAAAAGUUUUCACUUUAAAUCUGAAUGGGGCAAGGGAUAUUAAGAAAAGGAGUCAAUUUUUCCAGUUAAUGAAAUUGAAAGGAAUAGAUAUAGCUUUUGCUCAUAGCAAUGCUUUCAAUUAAGUAAAUUGGAAAAGAGAAUGGGAGGGUUUGGUUAUCCGGAGUCAUAAGAGCAGUACAAGUGCUGAUAUAGGAGUCUUCUUUGCAAAUAGAUUUUUGCCAAUCUUAUAUGAGGUGGAGGAAAUUGUAGAAGGAAGACUGUUAAAGGUUACUGCUAAAUUUGAUGUUGCAAAUUUUGUUUUAAUAAAUGUGUAUGCUCCAGUUA